AGGAGUGUAGCUCAGCUGGUAGAGCAUCGGUCUCCAAAACCGAGGGUCGUGGGUUCGAGCCCCUCCACUCCUGCCA
This 76-nucleotide transfer RNA is filed under the name Parasphingopyxis sp. RNAcentral describes it as "tRNA-Trp". It matches the Rfam family "tRNA". Rfam says of the family: Transfer RNA (tRNA) molecules are approximately 80 nucleotides in length. RNAcentral also lists the same sequence under 1 other name. The record is from RNAcentral. Lineage: Bacteria; Pseudomonadati; Pseudomonadota; Alphaproteobacteria; Sphingomonadales; Parasphingopyxidaceae.